GACGAAGAAGAAAUGAGAAAUAGAGACGGAAUAGGAGAAGGAUCCAAGGUGUAAUAUUUAGAUAUACCUACAGACGACCCCUGCACGGAACAGCAACGACUUGUGUGCCACAGACAGUCAGUUCUCCUACUGCUGUGUCAAUGGUAUCCCAAAGCAGCGCAUGUGUGACGGCUUCAGUGACUACUGCAGUAACGGAGAGGAAUUUGUGCAGCUGUGUGGCAUUGACGAGUGCCGGGAGAUGAAUGGCGGGUGUGAGCACCUGUGCGCCAACACUAGAGGGUCAUACUACUGCCAGUGCUGGCCAGGAUUCAGACUUGUCAAGAAGUUUAACUGUGAAGACAUUGAAGAGUGCAUGGAGUCGCCCGGAUCCUCUCCCUGUGGACCAUCCCAUCAGAAGAGUUCGGUCCGCCCAACAGCAGCAACGGUCAGGAGAAGGUCAUUGAACUGUCAAGUCCCCCUAGCUGGCAUGGUGCUGGGUGUUGUGCUGGGCUACUUUGGGGUUCUUUGCCUAGCUGUUGGGAUGUUUGUCGGGUUCCUGAAGAUGCGUCGACGUGUUAUCAUCCACACAAGCUUCUUCAACCCACCCAGUGUACCACAAGACAACAGGCAUUGAGGAGGACGCGAACGAGUGGCUGCAUAUACCAUUGAAUAGGACGGCAUUAUAUUCGUCCCACAGGAGUGUCUACAGCGAAGCAAGCCCAGAAUGAAGUGUUGAGUGACCAUGAUUAUUCAGUACUACUAACACCAAAGAAGUGAGGGAAGUGUUUGGAGUGAGUGUGCAAGACAUACAACAGACUCCAGACUCUUACUGCCGAUGUAUCCAAAGGAACAAGAGGAGGAGGAAGAGGAGGAAAAAGAGGGUGAUUCUUGGAGACCUACCUAUGAAGUUCUGAAGUUUUAAAGCAGCGCCAUUCACCAAGCUCCAACCAGCAAGACAAGCUGUGCAGGCCAUCACCAUAACCUUCCACACUUCCUCAUCUUUGUCUUUUAAAGACAUACAGACGACCCCCGCACUGAAGAGCAACGACACGUGUACCUAAGACAGUCAGUUCUACGGCGGUGGCAAUAACAUCCCGAAGCAGCGCAUGUGUGACGACAUCAAUGACUGCAGUAACAGAGAGAGUGAGUUUGUGCAGCUGUGUGGCAUUGACAGGUGCCGUGAGAAGAAUGGUGGGUGUGAGCACCUGUGCGCCAACACUCAAGGGUCAUACUACUGCCAGUGCCAGCCAGGAUACAACAGACUUUUCAACAUUGACGAAUGUGUGGAGUCGCCCAGAUCCUCUCCCUGUGGACCAUCCCCUCAGCAGCAGCAACGGUCAGAAGACGGUCGUUGAAGUGUCAAGUCUCCCAAGCUGGCAUGGUGCUGGGUCUUGUGCUGGGCUCCCUCGGGAUUCUUUGCCUAGCUGUCUGGGAGAGUUAACUACUUUUUAACUCCUUUAUGCUGUAGAGUCUUGCUGUGGAUGUACUGUGGCUAAGACGGCGUAAUUAAGUUGUAGAUGAGAUUUUACCAAACUAUAAACACUUCCUUAAUUGUUCUUGACACACUGAGAAUAUUUCAAUACUGUAUGGUUAGCCGACUCAUACUUAUUAUUUUUUUAUUAUUAUUAUUAUUUUUUUUUUUUUCAUCAUACCUGCAACGUUUUCACUCUAGAGAUGUUUGUCAGGUUCCUGAAGAUGCAUCGACGUGUUGCCAUCCGCACACGCUUCCCCAAUCCAGUGUACCAUAAUACAACAGGCAUUGAGGAGGACAGGAGCGUCUGCACCAUUGAACAGGACGGCAUUACAUUCGUCCUACAGGAGUAUGACUACAGGAUUCAGUAUAGUACUAACACCAAAGAAGUGAGGGAAGUGUCUCGAGUGAGUGUGCAAUACAUAAGACUGCUACUGCCGGUGUAGCGAAAGGAACAAGAGGAGGAGGAAGAAGAGAAUGAUUCUUGGAGACGUACCAAUGAAGUUCUGAAGGUAGAAAAUAUUGUCAGGAGCUCUCUACACAAUAUCUGGUGGUGGUGACACAGGAAGCAGGGAGGAAGAGGUGACAAAUUAGACAAACACAAGACAGACAGGUCAAGGAAAGAAGUAAACACUAAGGAAUUAACAGUGUGUUGUGGGAUACUCGUUACUUGCAUCAAAGUGCCUCCCUAGACCUUAGAGUGCAUCACUAGUUUUCUCAUCUGAAAUAUGACCAAGAACAAAACUCUUAAAC
RNAcentral lists this long non-coding RNA (2203 nucleotides) under Portunus trituberculatus (swimming crab). Its description in RNAcentral is "uncharacterized LOC123499186, transcript variant X2". The record is from RNAcentral. Lineage: Eukaryota; Metazoa; Arthropoda; Malacostraca; Decapoda; Portunidae.